UACGGAGGGUGCGAGCGUUGUUCGGAAUCACUGGGCGUAAAGGGCGUGUAGGCGGUCCGUUAAGUCUGAUGUGAAAGCCCGGGGCUCACCCCCGGAAGGGCAUUGGAAACUGGCGGACUCGAGUCCCGGAGAGGAGAGGGGAAUUCCUGGUGUAGCGGUGAAAUGCGUAGAUAUCAGGAGGAACACCGGUGGCGAAGGCGGCUCUCUGGACGGUGACUGACGCUAAGACGCGAAAGCGUGGGGAGCAAACAGG
RNAcentral lists this ribosomal RNA (253 nucleotides) under uncultured bacterium. RNAcentral describes it as "partial 16S ribosomal RNA". It matches the Rfam family "Bacterial small subunit ribosomal RNA", at positions 524 to 776 of the family's 1533-position model. The record is from RNAcentral.